This 253-nucleotide ribosomal RNA is filed under the name uncultured bacterium. RNAcentral's name for it is "partial 16S ribosomal RNA". It matches the Rfam family "Bacterial small subunit ribosomal RNA", at positions 524 to 776 of the family's 1533-position model. The record is from RNAcentral.
UACAGAGGUGGCAAGCGUUGUUCGGAAUUACUGGGCGUAAAGGGCGCGUAGGCGGCUCGACAAGUCCCGCGUGAAAGCCCCCGGCUCAACUGGGGAACUGCGCGGGAAACUGUCGGACUUGAGUUCGGGAGAGGGAAGCGGAAUUCCGGGUGUAGUGGUGAAAUGCGUAGAUAUUCGGAGGAACACCAGUGGCGAAGGCGGCUCACUGGCUCGAUACUGACGCUGAGACGCGAAAGCGUGGGGAGCGAACAGG